GCGGGUGUAGUUCAAUGGUAGAAUUCCAGCCUUCCAAGCUGGUCGUGUGAGUUCGAUUCUCAUCACCCGCUCCA
This 74-nucleotide transfer RNA is filed under the name Clostridiales bacterium. RNAcentral describes it as "tRNA-Gly". It matches the Rfam family "tRNA". From Rfam's summary of the family: Transfer RNA (tRNA) molecules are approximately 80 nucleotides in length. RNAcentral also lists the same sequence under 2 other names. Lineage: Bacteria; Bacillati; Bacillota; Clostridia; Eubacteriales. The record is from RNAcentral.